RNAcentral lists this ribosomal RNA (495 nucleotides) under uncultured Glomus. RNAcentral's name for it is "SSU rRNA". It matches the Rfam family "Eukaryotic small subunit ribosomal RNA", at positions 569 to 1070 of the family's 1831-position model. The record is from RNAcentral. Lineage: Eukaryota; Fungi; Glomeromycota; Glomeromycetes; Glomerales; Glomeraceae.
AGCAGCCGCGGUAAUUCCAGCUCCAAUAGCGUAUAUUAAAGUUGUUGCAGUUAAAAAGCUCGUAGUUGAAUUUCGGGACUAAUAUGUCGGUCGUACUUUGUACGUACUAGCAUUAUUGGUUUCUCCCUUCUGACGAACCACGAUGUCAUUAAUUUGGUGUCAUGGGAAAUCAGGACUGUUACUUUGAAAAAAUUAGAGUGUUUAAAGCAAGCUCGCGCUUGAAUACAUUAGCAUGGAAUAAUGAAAUAGGACGUUUGAUUCUAUUUUGUUGGUUUCUAGGAUCGACGUAAUGAUUAAUAGGGAUAGUUGGGGGCAUUAGUAUUCAAUUGUCAGAGGUGAAAUUCUUGGAUUUAUUGAAGACUAACUACUGCGAAAGCAUUUGCCAAGGAUGUUUUCAUUAAUCAAGAACGAAAGUUAGGGGAUCGAAGACGAUCAGAUACCGUCGUAGUCUUAACCAUAAACUAUGCCGACUAGGGAUCGGAUGAUGUUAAUUUU